CGAACGCUGGCGGCGUGCUUAACACAUGCAAGUCGAACGGAAAGGCCCUGCUUUUGUGGGGUGCUCGAGUGGCGAACGGGUGAGUAACACGUGAGUAACCUGCCCUUGACUUUGGGAUAACUUCAGGAAACUGGGGCUAAUACCGGAUAGGAGCUCCUGCUGCAUGGUGGGGGUUGGAAAGUUUCGGCGGUUGGGGAUGGACUCGCGGCUUAUCAGCUUGUUGGUGGGGUAGUGGCUUACCAAGGCUUUGACGGGUAGCCGGCCUGAGAGGGUGACCGGCCACAUUGGGACUGAGAUACGGCCCAGACGCCUACGGGAGGCAGCAGUGGGGAAUAUUGCACAAUGGGCGGAAGCCUGAUGCAGCAACGCCGCGUGCGGGAUGACGGCCUUCGGGUUGUAAACCGCUUUCGCCUGUGACGAAGCGUGAGUGACGGUAAUGGGUAAAGAAGCACCGGCUAACUACGUG
RNAcentral lists this ribosomal RNA (466 nucleotides) under uncultured bacterium. RNAcentral describes it as "partial 16S ribosomal RNA". It matches the Rfam family "Bacterial small subunit ribosomal RNA", at positions 30 to 507 of the family's 1533-position model. The record is from RNAcentral.